This 253-nucleotide ribosomal RNA is filed under the name uncultured bacterium. RNAcentral describes it as "partial 16S ribosomal RNA". It matches the Rfam family "Bacterial small subunit ribosomal RNA", at positions 524 to 776 of the family's 1533-position model. The record is from RNAcentral.
GACGUAGGGCGCGAGCGUUGUCCGGAUUUAUUGGGCGUAAAGAGCUCGUAGGCGGCUUGUCGCGUCGACCGUGAAAACUUGGGGCUCAACCCCAAGCCUGCGGUCGAUACGGGCAGGCUCGAGUUCGGUAGGUGAGACUGGAAUUCCUGGUGUAGCGGCGAAAUGCGCAGAUAUCAGGAGGAACACCGGUGGCGAAGGCGGGUCUCUGGGCCGAUACUGACGCUGAGGAGCGAAAGCGUGGGGAGCGAACAGG